GUUUCAAAGAGAUACAUAUACUAAAAUUGGAACGAUACAGAGAAGAUUAGCAUGGC
This 56-nucleotide small nuclear RNA is filed under the name Alligator mississippiensis (American alligator). The record is from RNAcentral. Lineage: Eukaryota; Metazoa; Chordata; Crocodylia; Alligatoridae.